GACGUAGGGCGCGAGCGUUGUCCGGAUUUAUUGGGCGUAAAGAGCUCGUAGGCGGUUUGUCGCGUCGGGAGUGAAAACCCAGGGCUUAACUCUGGGCUUGCUUUCGAUACGGGCAGACUAGAGGCAUGCAGGGGAGAACGGAAUUCCUGGUGUAGCGGUGAAAUGCGCAGAUAUCAGGAGGAACACCGGUGGCGAAGGCGGUUCUCUGGGCAUGUCCUGACGCUGAGGAGCGAAAGUGUGGGGAGCGAACAGG
This 253-nucleotide ribosomal RNA is filed under the name uncultured bacterium. Its description in RNAcentral is "partial 16S ribosomal RNA". It matches the Rfam family "Bacterial small subunit ribosomal RNA", at positions 524 to 776 of the family's 1533-position model. The record is from RNAcentral.